This 240-nucleotide unclassified non-coding RNA is filed under the name soil metagenome. RNAcentral describes it as "partial contains 5.8S ribosomal RNA, internal transcribed spacer 2, and large subunit ribosomal RNA". The record is from RNAcentral.
AACACUGUUAACCUGCGGUACCUGCGGAGGGAUCAUUACCGAGUUUACAACUCCCAAACCCAAUGUGAACCAUACCAAACUGUUGCCUCGGCGGGGUCACGCCCCGGGUGCGUCGCAGCCCCGGAACCAGGCGCCCGCCGGAGGGACCAACCAAACUCUUUACUGUAGUCCCCUCGCGGACGUUAUUUCUUACAGCUCUGAGCAAAAAUUCAAAAUGAAUCAAAACUUUCAACAACGGAU